This 291-nucleotide ribosomal RNA is filed under the name Enterobacteriaceae bacterium ITRH29. Its description in RNAcentral is "partial 16S ribosomal RNA". It matches the Rfam family "Bacterial small subunit ribosomal RNA", at positions 214 to 498 of the family's 1533-position model. The record is from RNAcentral. Lineage: Bacteria; Pseudomonadati; Pseudomonadota; Gammaproteobacteria; Enterobacterales; Enterobacteriaceae.
CUUCCCAUCAGAUGUGCCCAGAUGGGAUUAGCUAGUAGGUGGGGUAACGGCUCACCUAGGCGACGAUCCCUAGCUGGUCUGAGAGGAUGACCAGCCACACUGGAACUGAGACACGGUCCAGACUCCUACGGGAGGCAGCAGUGGGGAAUAUUGCACAAUGGGCGCAAGCCUGAUGCAGCCAUGCCGCGUGUAUGAAGAAGGCCUUCGGGUUGUAAAGUACUUUCAGCGGGGAGGAAGGUGUUGUGGUUAAUAACCGCAGCAAUUGACGUACCCGCAGAAGAAGCCCCGGUA